CCUACGGGAGGCAGCAGUGGGGAAUAUUGGGCAAUGGGCGCAAGCCUGACCCAGCAACGCCGCGUGAAGGAAGAAGGCUUUCGGGUUGUAAACUUCUUUUCUCAGGGACGAAGAACGUGACGGUACCUGAGGAAUAAGCCACGGCUAACUACGUGCCAGCAGCCGCGGUAAUACGUAGGUGGCAAGCGUUAUCCGGAUUUACUGGGUGUAAAGUGCGUGUCGGCGGGGAAGCAAGUCAGAUGUGAAAACCACGGGCUCACCCUGUGGCCUGAAUUUGAAACUGUUUUUCUUGAGUACUGGAGAGGCGGACGGAAUUCUUAGUGUGGCGGUGAA
This 333-nucleotide ribosomal RNA is filed under the name uncultured bacterium. Its description in RNAcentral is "partial 16S ribosomal RNA". It matches the Rfam family "Bacterial small subunit ribosomal RNA", at positions 338 to 685 of the family's 1533-position model. The record is from RNAcentral.